Molecule: ribosomal RNA, 460 nt
Filed under: uncultured bacterium
Lineage: Bacteria
Description: partial 16S ribosomal RNA
Rfam family: Bacterial small subunit ribosomal RNA
Source: RNAcentral
CCUACGGGGGGCAGCAGUGAGGAAUAUUGGUCAAUGGGCGCGAGCCUGAACCAGCCAAGUCGCGUGAGGGAGGACGGCCCUACGGGUUGUAAACCUCUUUUGCCGGGGAGCAACGGGCGUCACGUGUGGCGCCACUGAGAGUACCCGGAGAAAAAGCAUCGGCUAACUCCGUGCCAGCAGCCGCGGUAAUACGGAGGAUGCGAGCGUUAUCCGGAUUUAUUGGGUUUAAAGGGUGCGUAGGCGGAUCGUUAAGUCAGUGGUCAAAUUGAGGGGCUCAACCCCUUCCCGCCAUUGAAACUGGCGCUCUUGAGUAUCGGAGAGGCAGGCGGAAUUCCUAGUGUAGCGGUGAAAUGCGUAGAUAUUAGGAGGAACACCAGUGGCGAAGGCGGCCUGCUGGACGACAACUGACGGUGAGGCGCGAAAGCGUGGGGAGCAAACAGGAUUAGAUACCCCUGUAGUC